UACGGAGGGUGCGAGCGUUAAUCGGAAUUACUGGGCGUAAAGCGUACGCAGGCGGUCUGUUAAGUCAGAUGUGAAAUCCCCGGGCUUAACCCGGGAACUGCAUUUGAAACUGGCAGGCUAGAGUCUCGUAGAGGGGGGUAGAAUUCCAGGUGUAGCGGUGAAAUGCGUAGAGAUCUGGAGGAAUACCGGUGGCGAAGGCGGCCCCCUGGACGAAGACUGACGCUCAGGUACGAAAGCGUGGGGAGCAAAC
RNAcentral lists this ribosomal RNA (250 nucleotides) under uncultured bacterium. Its description in RNAcentral is "partial 16S ribosomal RNA". It matches the Rfam family "Bacterial small subunit ribosomal RNA", at positions 524 to 773 of the family's 1533-position model. The record is from RNAcentral.